CGCGGGGUGGAGCAGCCUGGUAGCUCGUCGGGCUCAUAACCCGAAGGUCGGACGUUCGAAUCGUCCCCCCGCUACCA
Molecule: transfer RNA, 77 nt
Filed under: Candidatus Omnitrophota bacterium
Lineage: Bacteria; Pseudomonadati; Candidatus Omnitrophota
Description: tRNA-Met
Rfam family: tRNA
About the family: Transfer RNA (tRNA) molecules are approximately 80 nucleotides in length.
Source: RNAcentral